AUACUGUUGAAGAGUCCGAAACAAAGACGAAACGCUUGUCCAGUAU
RNAcentral lists this non-coding RNA (46 nucleotides) under Trichobilharzia regenti. The record is from RNAcentral. Lineage: Eukaryota; Metazoa; Platyhelminthes; Trematoda; Strigeidida; Schistosomatidae.